RNAcentral lists this microRNA precursor (76 nucleotides) under Myotis lucifugus (little brown bat). RNAcentral describes it as "mir-9229 microRNA precursor family". It matches the Rfam family "mir-9229 microRNA precursor family". Lineage: Eukaryota; Metazoa; Chordata; Mammalia; Chiroptera; Vespertilionidae. The record is from Rfam by way of RNAcentral.
GAGACACCCUUCUGGGGCAAGACUUGCUUCAAUGGGGCUUUGGUGCUUACUGAGUCUGCCCCCUGAGUGUGUCCUU